Brassica napus (rape) is the source of this 1088-nucleotide long non-coding RNA. RefSeq lists it as uncharacterized. NCBI's taxonomy places the organism in Eukaryota, Viridiplantae, Streptophyta, Magnoliopsida, Brassicales, Brassicaceae. The record is from RefSeq and is a predicted model, not a curated record. The transcript has 2 exons.
CAAAAGACGGAGAAGACGUCUCUUAAUUUGGCUCCGCAAGGGACGUCUCUUACGAGACAGCUGUCGCAUUCUUCUUCGUCCUUGCCGCUAAGCCGCGGUUAUCUCUGCAACAACAACAAAGCUGAGUCUUCUUCUUCCACCAUUCUCCUCCUCUUCAACCAAUCUCGCUUCUGCAGCAACCCUCCUACGGCUUUGUCUCAAAGCGACACAGUCUGUUGCUUCAUGUUGAAUGAAAUCCUAAUUUCGAGGGCACUGGUUUCAUCACUGUUGCUUUGGAUGUGGAGAUUGUUCCUCCAGAGAACUCAGUGCUCAAUACCGCAGCGGAAAGGUUCUUUAAGAGCGAGAUAAGGAGGAGGUUGUUUGUGACGUCUGUGUUGCUUGUACUUAGCCGUGUUGGAUAUUUUAUCCCUUUGCCUGGGUUUGACAGAAGAUUAAUACCUCAAGAUUACCUUAGCUUUGUCUCAGGUUCCGUUGGUGAGUUACUACUGGUUCUAUUAGAACGGUUCAUAUGUUUCCCUUAACAGCUUGCGUUGUUUUAGUUGAGUAUUGCUCUGUUUAUAUAUGUGUGUGUGUGUUAGCUUCACGAAUUUAAUGAUGGCUUGCUCUCUGUUAGGAAGAUCGUUGUUUCAAUUGAUAGAUUUUUUUCACAGCACCUGGAUGUUUGUUUACAACUGUUAGAACGGUUUAAUAAAUAACUUUUACUACUGGUUCCGUGAAGAAUUACAAUGCUGCACAAGACGUACGGGGAACUACAAGUUGUUGUGCUUGUUCUGUCUUUGUUUCAUGUUAAUGUUCUUGUUCUGUUUGAGUAAUGAGAAUGAUAUGCUUUGUUGUUUUGUUUCAUGUUUCAAGUUCUGGUUAUUGAUUCAUUUUAUUGAGGUUUUCUUGUUGUUUCUGUUUCAUCGUCUUUGACAUUGGAACAACAUUGGCUAAAGAAGAUCAAGUAAGAAGAGUGAAAGUAAUGUUGUAAGAACCUUGCAAUGGAGCAAUUAAAUGUUGGGGUUUCUUAAAUUUGUCUCAUAAAUCACUUUUUGUACUUAAAAGCAUUAAAAAAUAAUAAGAACCCCUAAUAUGGGUCUUUGCAAUAA